AUGUAGUGUAGCAUGCCCGUUUGGUGAAAUACUCUGAUGAAUAUUUGUUAUUUAAUUACUUUUGGGUAACGGGGUGUUACAAUUUG
RNAcentral lists this microRNA precursor (86 nucleotides) under Medicago truncatula (barrel medic). Its description in RNAcentral is "MIR2617 microRNA precursor family". It matches the Rfam family "MIR2617 microRNA precursor family". The record is from Rfam by way of RNAcentral. Lineage: Eukaryota; Viridiplantae; Streptophyta; Magnoliopsida; Fabales; Fabaceae.